Molecule: long non-coding RNA, 412 nt
Organism: Schistocerca gregaria
Lineage: Eukaryota; Metazoa; Arthropoda; Insecta; Orthoptera; Acrididae
Exons: 3
Source: RefSeq, a predicted model, not a curated record
GACACACGACGGUGUUUAUUUCUCUCACUCCGUUGUCAUUUCGAACCUUAUGCGUUCUAUCUAACAUGGAAGGUCGAAUUAGGAAUACUCAAUGGAGGACAAUUGAAACAGUGGGCCUACUACACAGAGGUCAUUUUCUCCAAUUUGAUAGUAGUGGAUUAUAAUAUACUGUUUCAGAUGCGUUACAAACAAGUGCCAGUGCAGUUAUAUCAUCUUCAGUCAAUGCUCUUACAAAGGUAAAAUGAGUGUAUGAGUACGAUAUUGCUAGGUGGAAGAAAACACGUGGAACGAAGAUAAUGGAGGAGGUAGACCGGCGAGGCCAAAACCCUACUGGGAUUUGUUUGGCCAAUCCAAUAAGUUCUGGAUGCCUCGGAGAAGUCAGAAUAAUUUAUUUUGAAAAUUUGCAGGCCCC